Agelaius phoeniceus (red-winged blackbird) is the source of this 2777-nucleotide non-coding RNA. The record is from RefSeq and is a predicted model, not a curated record. NCBI's taxonomy places the organism in Eukaryota, Metazoa, Chordata, Aves, Passeriformes, Icteridae.
GCCGCGCCGGGUGCAAGAUGUCGGCGCAGGGAGACUGUGAGUUCCUGGUGAAGCGGGCCCGGGAGCUGGUGCCGGGGGACCUGUGGGCGGCCAAGGCCUGGCUCAUCACGGCGCGGAGCCUCUACCCCGCCGACUUCAACAUCCAAUAUGAGAUGUACACUAUUGAGAGGAAUGCUGAGAGGACAGCGUCUGCAGGCAGGCUGCUCUACGACAUGUUUGUGAAUUUUCCAGACCAACCUGCUGUGUGGAGGGAGAUCAGUGUUAUUACAUCAGCAUUAAGGAAUGACUCCCAGGACAAGCAGACACAGUUUUUAAGAGGAUUAUUUGAGACCCUUCCUGGUCGGGUGCAGUGUGAAAUGCUCCUGAAGGCAACAGAGCAGUGCUUUAACACAUUAGAAAGGGCAGAAAUGCUCCUUCUCCUUCUGCGGCGUUUCCCAGAGACCGUGGUGCAACAUGGGGUAGGCCUUGGAGAAACAUUAUUAGAUGCUGAAAGUAUUGAAGACCAAGAAUCUCCAGUGAAUUGCUUUAGAAAAUUAUUUGUUUGUGAUGUUCUUCCUCUGAUAAUUAACAACCCUGAUGUACGACUUCCUGCCAGCUUGUUAUAUAAAUACCUGAAUAAAGCAGCAGAAUUUUAUAUUAAUUACGUAACUAGAUCUACGCAGACAGAAAGUCAAUAUCAAGGUUCACAAGAUUCCUCUGAUAUUAUGUCUCCAAGCAAGCGCAGCUCUCAGAAAUACGUAAUAGAUGGCCUCACAGAGAAAUCAUCCCAGAUUACAGAUCCUUGGGAGAGGCUGUUUAAAAUACUGUCUGUGGUGGGAAUGAGGUGUGAGUGGCAAAUGGAUAAGGGAAGAAGGAGUUACGGUGACAUUCUGCAUCGAAUGAAAGAUCUCUGCAGAUACAUCAGUAACUUUGAUAGUGAAGCCCACAUUAAAUACAAGAAUCAAGUAGUGUAUUCCACAAUGUUGGUCUUCUUUAAAAAUGCUUUUCAGUAUGUCAGCAACAUCCAGCCGUCACUCUUUCAAGGUCCAAAUGCUCCAAACCAAACUCCACUGGUGCUUCUUGAGGAUGUACCCAACAUCUAUGGUGAUACAGAUAUUGAUCGUAACAAACACAUACACAAGAAAAGGAAACUUGCUGAAGGAAGAGAAAAAACAAUGCAGAGCUCAGAUGAUGAGGAUCCUUCUGGGAAGGCAAGAAGUCGCCAUAUUACAGUAAAUAAGGCUGAUCUUGCAAACUCCAUUGAAGUAUUAGAGAGUUUCAAACUGGCAAGAGAGAGCUGGGAGCUGCUUUAUUCUCUGGAAUCACUUGACAAAGAGUUCACCAGAAUUUGUUUGUCAUGGAAGACAGAAACCUGGCUUUGGUUAAGAAUCUUUCUUACAGACAUGAUCAUCUACCAGGGGCAGUACAAAAAAGCAAUUAGCAGCCUACAUCACUUGGCCGCUCUUCAGGGCUCUCAUUCUCCCCAGCAAAUUACAGGACAAGGAUCUUUAGAAAACCAGAGAGCACUGAUCCAGUUAGCAUCGUGCCACUUUGCCCUUGGAGAAUAUCGGCAAACGUGCGAAAAAGUGCUUGACCUCAUGUGCUGUAUUUUACUUCCAAUACAAGAAGGAGGUAAAGUACAAGAGGAGCAACCUAAAGUCAAGUCAAAAUUCAGGAAAGGGUCUGAUUUGAAACUUUGGCCAUGUACCAGUAGAGCUAUCAUGCCUUACUGCCUUCAUCUGUUGUUAGCUUGUUUCAAGCUCAGAGCUUUCACAGACAGCAGAGAUGAUAUGGCCCUGGGCCAUGUAGUUGUUCUGCUCCAGCAUGAGUGGCCGAGGGGUGAGAACUUGUUCCUGAAAGCCAUCAACAAAAUCUGCCAGCAAGGAAACUUCCAGUAUGAGAAUUUUUUCAACUAUGUCACAAAUAUUGAUAUGUUGGAGGAAUUUGCUUAUUUAAGAACACAGGAAGGAGGGAAAAUUCAUCUGGAACUCCUGCCAAAUCAAGCAAUGUUGAUCAAGACCUCUAGCCCUCCCAUGGGGUUACUUCAGCAGGAAUUCAUACCUGUGCUACAGCCCAGCAUACAGACUGCUGACAGGCACCACACAGUUACCCGGGGUAUAACGAAAGGAGUGAAGGAGGAUUUCCGCCUGGCCAUGGAGCGCCAGGUCUCGCGCUGUGGGGAAAAUCUCAUGGUGGUCUUGCACAGGUUCUGCAUUAAUGAGAAAAUACUGCUGCUGCAGACUCUUGCUUGAACGGACUGGAUCCUGAUGCAGUGUCUUUUAUGGAGAGAGGGGAAGGCUCUUUGUAUGAACAAGCAGCAUAGCAGUGGAAAAUCUCUUGUUCAGAGGGUCAAGAAGUUCCCUGUAAGUUACAGGUUCUGCACUGCUUGAUUUCUUAUAGUGGAUGAGUGCCAACCAAUCUGGUCAGAUCUGCUGCCUUUACAAACAAAUGCUGACUGCCCUUCAAAGCUCUGGGGUUUCUGGUAGGAGACAAUGGAAGCGAAGAAAACAAAAGAAUAGUAUCAGUGCAGAAAGAAUCAUAAGGAAUAUGUCUCCUGAUGUGUUUUACUGACCUGGGUAUAAAAAUGGAGCACCUGACCACCAUUUCUUGACAUCCACAAGGUAAUAUAUCAGCAGUAAUAGGAUGAAGGCAAAACAGCUCAUGGUUGUCACAUAUGAUAUUGACCUACAAACAUUUUCAGUAGAAAGAGUAAUAUUUAGAGAACUGUGUGAUACAGAUCUCAAUGUACAAAAGAUAAAACAUUCCCUAAGCUAAAAUAGUACUUUAACAAAAUCAUA